GCAAACUUGGUCAUUUAGAGGAAGUAAAAGUCGUAACAAGGUUUCCGUAGGUGAACCUGCGGAAGGAUCAUUAACGAGUUUUGAAAGGGGUUGUAGGCUGGCCUUCUGGGGCAUGUGCACGCCCUGCUCAAAUCUGCUCUACACCUGUGCACUUACUGUGGGUUUCAGAGGCAAAGUGGACCUUGUCAAAGUGGACCUUGUGCAGGUCUUAUGGAGUUUCUGUGCCUACGUCUUAUUUUACAAAUGCUUCAGUUUUAGAAUGUGUAUUGUGAAGGUGUAAAUGCAUCUAUAUACAACUUUCAGCGACGGAUCUCUUGGCUCUCGCAUCGAUGAAGAACGCAGC
This 343-nucleotide unclassified non-coding RNA is filed under the name uncultured fungus. Its description in RNAcentral is "partial contains small subunit ribosomal RNA, internal transcribed spacer 1, and 5.8S ribosomal RNA". The stretch from base 1 to 73 matches the Rfam family "Eukaryotic small subunit ribosomal RNA", at positions 1759 to 1831 of the family's 1831-position model. The record is from RNAcentral. Lineage: Eukaryota; Fungi.